ACAUUUCAGAAUGAUGAAAACCCUCCAUUCCCGAGGUGUUUAUAACUCUGAGGUUCUACUGUGCACGUGGGUCAGAAUUGCCAGGAGGAAAAGAUUCCAUACUCGGAUGCCUGUGGCUUACAACCAUCAAAAUCUGUCAUUACAAUGGGGGAGAAUAGAGUAACACAGGAAACUGCUGGGAGGCACAAGAAAGAGCAGAACAUAUGGAACCCAUUCACUGAUGAAAGCUAUGAGAAGUACUAUUCAGCUAUGAAACCUAUGACUAGAUACUGCAUUGAGGAG
This is a long non-coding RNA of Dermochelys coriacea (leatherback sea turtle), 282 nucleotides long. RefSeq lists it as uncharacterized. The transcript is spliced from 3 exons. Lineage: Eukaryota; Metazoa; Chordata; Testudines; Dermochelyidae. The record is from RefSeq and is a predicted model, not a curated record.